This 253-nucleotide ribosomal RNA is filed under the name uncultured bacterium. RNAcentral describes it as "partial 16S ribosomal RNA". It matches the Rfam family "Bacterial small subunit ribosomal RNA", at positions 524 to 776 of the family's 1533-position model. The record is from RNAcentral.
UACAGAGGGUGCAAGCGUUAAUCGGAAUUACUGGGCGUAAAGCGCGCGUAGGUGGUUCGUUAAGUUGGAUGUGAAAUCCCCGGGCUCAACCUGGGAACUGCAUUCAAAACUGUCGAGCUAGAGUAUGGUAGAGGGUGGUGGAAUUUCCUGUGUAGCGGUGAAAUGCGUAGAUAUAGGAAGGAACACCAGUGGCGAAGGCGACCACCUGGACUGAUACUGACGCUGAGGCACGAAAGCGUGGGGAUCAAACAGG